RNAcentral lists this ribosomal RNA (830 nucleotides) under bacterium MB-32. RNAcentral's name for it is "bacterial SSU rRNA". It matches the Rfam family "Bacterial small subunit ribosomal RNA", at positions 63 to 882 of the family's 1533-position model. The record is from RNAcentral.
CGAGCGGUAACAGGGGGAGCUUGCUCCCCGCUGACGAGCGGCGGACGGGUGAGUAAUGCAUAGGAAACUGCCCAGUAGUGGGGGAUAGCCCGGGGAAACCCGGAUUAAUACCGCAUACGCCCUUUGGGGGAAAGCAGGGGAUCUUCGGACCUUGCGCUAUUGGAUGUGCCUAUGUCGGAUUAGCUAGUUGGUGGGGUAAGAGCCUACCAAGGCGACGAUCCGUAGCUGGUCUGAGAGCAUGAUCAGCCACAUCGGGACUGAGACACGGCCCGAACUCCUACGGGAGGCAGCAGUGGGGAAUAUUGGACAAUGGGGGCAACCCUGAUCCAGCCAUGCCGCGUGUGUGAAGAAGGCUUUCGGGUUGUAAAGCACUUUCAGUGAGGAGGAAAACCUUACGACUAAUACUCGUGAGGCUUGACGUUACUCACAGAAGAAGCACCGGCUAACUCCGUGCCAGCAGCCGCGGUAAUACGGAGGGUGCAAGCGUUAAUCGGAAUUACUGGGCGUAAAGCGCGCGUAGGUGGUUUGAUAAGCGAGAUGUGAAAGCCCCGGGCUCAACCUGGGAACGGCAUUUCGAACUGUCAGGCUAGAGUAUGGUAGAGGAGUGUGGAAUUUCCUGUGUAGCGGUGAAAUGCGUAGAUAUAGGAAGGAACACCAGUGGCGAAGGCGGCACUCUGGACCAAUACUGACACUGAGGGUGCGAAAGCGUGGGGGAGCAAACAGGAUUAGAUACCCUGGUAGUCCACGCUGUAAACGAUGUCAACUAGCCGUUGGGACUCUUGAAGUCUUAGUGGCGCAGCUAACGCACUAAGUUGACCGCCUGGGGAGUA